RNAcentral lists this ribosomal RNA (348 nucleotides) under uncultured bacterium. RNAcentral describes it as "partial 16S ribosomal RNA". It matches the Rfam family "Bacterial small subunit ribosomal RNA", at positions 338 to 684 of the family's 1533-position model. The record is from RNAcentral.
CCUACGGGGGACAGCAGUGAGGAAUAUUGGUCAAUGGACGAGAGUCUGAACCAGCCAAGUAGCGUGAAGGAUGACUGCCCUAUGGGUUGUAAACUUCUUUUAUAAAGGAAUAAAACGAGGCACGUGUGCCUUUUGCAGGGACGGUAGGAAGAAGGAGCGGCGAACUCCGUGCCAGCAGCCGCGGUAAUACGGAGGAUCCGAGCGUUAGCCGGAUUUAGUGGGUUUAAAGGGAGCGUAGAGGGUUUGUUAAGUCAGUUGUGAAAGUUGGCGGCUCAACCGUAAAAUUGCAAUUGAUACUGGCAGUCUUGCGUCCAGUUGAGUUAGGCUGACUUCGUGUUGUAGCGGUGA